Molecule: long non-coding RNA, 212 nt
Filed under: Arachis ipaensis
Lineage: Eukaryota; Viridiplantae; Streptophyta; Magnoliopsida; Fabales; Fabaceae
Description: long non-coding RNA (AIPA_LNC002286)
Source: RNAcentral
UUUGUUUUUCUGAUGUAAUCUGGGUUUAUGAAUUAGGAUUAGUUCCCCUUGCCAAGUUGGGUUAGCACUUGGUGAGAACUGAAUCUGUGUAGAUUCCCCUUCCAAGUUGGGAUAGCACUUUGGGGUUGCUAAGCUUUGGUGAAGAAAGCUUAGGGGUAGAUACUAGUUGAAUUAGGGAGUAAUUCAAUAGUAUUGGUGUAUGUAACCUGAGA